UGCAAGUCGAGCGAACUGAUUAGAAGCUUGCUUCUAUGACGUUAGCGGCGGACGGGUGAGUAACACGUGGGCAACCUGCCUGUAAGACUGGGAUAACUUCGGGAAACCGAAGCUAAUACCGGAUAGGAUCUUCUCCUUCAUGGGAGAUGAUUGAAAGAUGGUUUCGGCUAUCACUUACAGAUGGGCCCGCGGUGCAUUAGCUAGUUGGUGAGGUAACGGCUCACCAAGGCAACGAUGCAUAGCCGACCUGAGAGGGUGAUCGGCCACACUGGGACUGAGACACGGCCCAGACUCCUACGGGAGGCAGCAGUAGGGAAUCUUCCGCAAUGGACGAAAGUCUGACGGAGCAACGCCGCGUGAGUGAUGAAGGCUUUCGGGUCGUAAAACUCUGUUGUUAGGGAAGAACAAGUACAAGAGUAACUGCUUGUACCUUGACGGUACCUAACCAGAAAGCCACGGCUAACUACGUGCCAGCAGCCGCGGUAAUACGUAGGUGGCAAGCGUUAUCCGGAAUUAUUGGGCGUAAAGCGCGCGCAGGCGGUUUCUUAAGUCUGAUGUGAAAGCCCACGGCUCAACCGUGGAGGGUCAUUGGAAACUGGGGAACUUGAGUGCAGAAGAGAAAAGCGGAAUUCCACGUGUAGCGGUGAAAUGCGUAGAGAUGUGGAGGAACACCAGUGGCGAAGGCGGCUUUUUGGUCUGUAACUGACGCUGAGGCGCGAAAGCGUGGGGGAGCAAACAGGAUUAGAUACCCUGGUAGUCCACGCCGUAACGAUGAGUGCUAAGUGUUAGAGGGUUUCCGCCCUUUAGUGCUGCAGCUAACGCAUUAAGCACUCCGCCUGGGGAGUACGGUCGCAAGACUGAAACUCAAGGAAUUGACGGGGGCCCGCACA
RNAcentral lists this ribosomal RNA (890 nucleotides) under Priestia megaterium. RNAcentral describes it as "bacterial SSU rRNA". It matches the Rfam family "Bacterial small subunit ribosomal RNA", at positions 56 to 927 of the family's 1533-position model. The record is from RNAcentral. Lineage: Bacteria; Bacillati; Bacillota; Bacilli; Caryophanales; Bacillaceae.